RNAcentral lists this unclassified non-coding RNA (229 nucleotides) under plant metagenome. RNAcentral describes it as "partial contains small subunit ribosomal RNA, internal transcribed spacer 1, and 5.8S ribosomal RNA". The record is from RNAcentral.
GUUCCGUAGGUGAACCUGCGGAGGGAUCAUUACAGAGUUCAUGCCCUACCGGGUAGAUCUCCCACCCUAUGUUAUUAUUACUUUGUUGCUUUGGCGGGCCGUUAGGCUCCGGCCCGACUACCGGCCCCGGCUGGUAAGCGCCCGCCAGAGGACCCAAAACCCUGAAUAUUAGUGUCGUCUGAGUACUAUAUAAUAGUUAAAACUUUCAACAACGGAUCUCUUGGUUCUC